AUUGAACGCUGGCGGCAUGCCUUACACAUGCCAGUCGAACGGCAGCAUGAUCUAGCUUGCUCGAUUGAUGGCGAGUGGCGAACGGGUGAGUAAUACAUCGGAACGUGCCGUGUAGUGGGGGAUAACUAGUCGAAAGAUUAGCUAAUACCGCAUACGACCUGAGGGUGAAAGUGGGGGACCGCAAGGCCUCAUGCUAUAGGAGCGGCCGAUGUCUGAUUAGCUAGUUGGUGAGGUAAAGGCUCACCAAGGCGACGAUCAGUAGCUGGUCUGAGAGGACGAUCAGCCACACUGGGACUGAGACACGGCCCAGACUCCUACGGGAGGCAGCAGUGGGGAAUUUUGGACAAUGGGCGAAAGCCUGAUCCAGCAAUGCCGCGUGUGUGAAGAAGGCCUUCGGGUUGUAAAGCACUUUUGUCCGGAAAGAAAUGGCUCUGGUUAAUACCUGGGGUCGAUGACGGUACCGGAAGAAUAAGGACCGGCUAACUACGUG
Molecule: ribosomal RNA, 490 nt
Filed under: uncultured bacterium
Lineage: Bacteria
Description: partial 16S ribosomal RNA
Rfam family: Bacterial small subunit ribosomal RNA
Source: RNAcentral